UAAAAGUGUAUGUAAUUUUUUCGGCGAAAGGCCGCUCGUCAGGGCAUGUUGGCCGCAGUCACAAGCGGUAUGCAUCUCGGACUUUUGGCUGGCUGCUUAGCCUGAGCUGAAUAAGAUAUGAAAAGAUAUGAAAGCAUACAACGUAGCUUGCAAGACUGGGCGCUUGAAACGGCUGCGGGAAGAGGAAGCGUUCAGGACAUCAGACAGCAAGAAGCACAACACCUGCUGGUAAACCACCGAGAAUACCUUCAGUUGGUGACGUGUAGCUUUAGCCGGCGGGGUCGACCAUCAUACGCUUUGCGCACCGCCAAUCCUGCUCUGGCCCAAA
RNAcentral lists this long non-coding RNA (328 nucleotides) under Volvox carteri. Its description in RNAcentral is "long non-coding RNA (VCAR_LNC000272)". The record is from RNAcentral. Lineage: Eukaryota; Viridiplantae; Chlorophyta; Chlorophyceae; Chlamydomonadales; Volvocaceae.